GGUAGCAUGGCCGAGCGGUCUAAGGCGCUGGUUUAAGGCACCAGUCAUAUCGAUGGCGUGGGUUCGAAUCCCACUGCUGCCA
Non-coding RNA from Ciona savignyi (Pacific transparent sea squirt), 82 nucleotides. NCBI's taxonomy places the organism in Eukaryota, Metazoa, Chordata, Ascidiacea, Phlebobranchia, Cionidae. The record is from Rfam.